Molecule: unclassified non-coding RNA, 608 nt
Filed under: Hevea brasiliensis (rubber tree)
Lineage: Eukaryota; Viridiplantae; Streptophyta; Magnoliopsida; Malpighiales; Euphorbiaceae
Source: RNAcentral
GUAGAUUCAAACCAAAAUACCUCCAUAAUCAACCAAGAACACUUCCAUAGAUCUACAAAGCCUAAAUAGAAAUCCUAAAAAUGCUGAAGAACAAAUAACCAUAAACACUGAAGAAUAAGAACCUAGAAACUCUGAAGAACAAAUCAAACAUUCAACCAAACUUGAAGAACAAAAACCCAGAAAUACAACAAAUCAAACAUUGAAUUCUAGAAAUCAAAUCCAGAGCAAAAACAUUCAAAUCCAAGUUUGAAAUCCCAAACAACAAUUCACCAACAUUAUACUUUGAAUCCCCUCACUCUGCUUCAAAUCAACAAACACAAAAACUCAAAAUACCACUCGCCACUGUCGACUCGAAGAGACGAAUUGUACAAGGGCAAUAAGAAUAAGAAUGAUGGUUCCACCAGAAGUACCCAAAAUACCCGAUGCCACUGCCAUUAGCUCCCUUUCUCUCACUUGUCAAUGUCCCUUUCAUCAUCAGCUCCCCUCUACUAGCGCCAUUCAUAGAAGAAAAAUAUGGAUUGUGAAUUUGUUGGAUCUAGAGAACAGGUGUUAUGUUUUGUCAAAGAAGGAGGAGAAGGAGAAGAUAUGGGAUAUGUUGUGGGUUUACG